UAGCAAAAGAUUUGAUUGGGGAUGCUCUAAAUGGGCCUAGAUACUACAGUUUAAAAAAUAUAUAUGGAACAGCAAGUACAGUGUAUUACCAUUUAUAUAAAGAGUGAAUACUUAUAUUAAUAUUUGCUUUUAUAUGCUAAACUCUCUCUGGUGGGAUAUACAAGCAAUUGAUAACACCAAUGGCCUCUGAGGAAUGGUGGGGGGUAAGCAGAAUAACUGAAGUACACAGGUGGGAGACGGACUUUCUGCUGUAAAUAAUUUUGUUCCUUUUAAAUAUUAAGCCACGUGCUAUAUUAUCUAUUCAAAAACAAAUAAAUUUUUAAAUAACUUUGAAAGCAAAAAGAUUUUUUAAAAUGCUCAAUCAUAACAAUACAUACACAUGUGACCAAAUAGGACAUUAGGGCUUAUGGUUUAUAGACUGAAAAGCAGAAAGAAUCUAUUUCCCCCUGUUCCUUUAUUAAACUCUAUCAAUAUUUAAUUUGGUUUUAUUACUCAUCAUACUUAUAUAUUUUCAUUUAAAUAUUUUACAAAACGUAUUUGAAAAUUUAGCUAAAACUGAGAGAUGUUCACUUUUUCUAAGCAGGUAGGUUCUAUUUUUUUAUACCAUGUAUUUCUCUUUAUUUUUUAUGACGGUAUUUUUAAAAAAAAGUAACAAUGCCCAGUGUAACAAGUGCUAAAGAUUUACAUUCAGAAAGAUGCAUUUUAUGUGCUGAAUGUAUAAAAUGCAAACUGGCAUGCUGGUAAUAUCAAUAACAACUAAAUACUCUGCAUCUCUAGAAGAGAAAACAGGCUAAAAUUAGGGUGUACAAACUUAGUGCAAACCAAAUGGGGUAAAACAUUGUGAAUGAUCCUAGAAAAGUAUACUGGUAAAGCUGAAAACAACCUGCACUACAAAGAAAUUGAAUCUUCACCUCAAUUAUGUAUGGUGAUCUGAUAUCAUUAAAUCACUAGUCUGUCAAUAAUUUUCUUUUAAAAAAUCUGAAAGUAAUCGUCCCUUCUAUGGGCUAAUUAAACAAUUUCAUGCCAUAUUAACCAAUAUCAAAUCAUCAAAUAUCAUGCUAUCUGAAACUAUCCCUUUUUUUUUUUUUCAAUUGGGAAGUAAAGAGUCAAGUUUCACCACAAUUUCCUUAAAGCCCAAGUAAAAUCAUCCUAGAAGUAGUCAAGUGGAGAGAAAGGCAUAAUUCUGAAUUCACUCAAAAGCCAAAGCAGAUUAAUGAGUAGUCUCAAAAAAAAAAAAGCAUUUAAUCAUUUGGCAAAACCUAUGUAAAAUUAUUAAUAUCUGUUUUAAUGACUCCAAACGGACAACCAGGCAGUUUUGAGUAUUACAUCUCGCUAAACGUUUCUGACUCUCAAGACUUUUAAAAUAACGUUUAUUCCAAUAAUACAUAAUGUGGAAGAUAUAGCCGUUCUUCUACUGCCAAAUUAUCUAAAUCCCAACAUCUGCAGUCAGGCUGUUUCUCAACUUUUCUGUUCUCCUGCCAACUAAAGAGAGGCCCUGAGAACUUAGCGUGCAGAGGCCGGGCUGCGGAUCACCGCCGAAUGCAGGUCUGCCGGGGGUCUGUCUGUCCCACAGGUGAGACUUACAAGACAAUUUCCCACAUUCACCACCACUUUCAGGAUCAUCACCCAUUUGGGGCUUUGUCUUUACAACUACGCCAGAUGCAUCUGCCUCACUCAGAAAUCAAACUUUUGUGUUUGAUUCUGAGUCCCAGUGACCCCGCGACAGCGGCCAGCACACGGCGUCCACCCAGCCCAGCAGCGCUCACCCACGAAAGGUCCGGAGUCCGGACCGGGCGGCGCCGGGUCCACUGCCCGGCCCACCUGGACCGUGGGGCGCCAAGCCCCCGCCCGACCCGCAGGCCCGGGGACUGAGGGGCGCCCGCUGUGCCCAGCAGAGCCGGGGCGGGACUGUGCGCGCGUGGGGUGCGGGGGUCAGCCGCGCAGAGGGCAGGGGCUGGGGUCACCGGAGAAGGGCCGAGGUGGUGGACAACCCCGAAAACACCGACUUGAGGAAGAGGGGACGAUCCAGUCCUAAAGGCCAGGAGCUUGGAGACCUAAGGGAAAAAGUUUGGAACUUCAGCUGGGGAAGCGAUGAAGGUGAGCAGCCAGCGAUGUGGAGCGACUCUAGAAGCUCCAGGCCAUGGGCACCCCGACUACCUGGGUGAUGGAGCGUCAGGUCUAGAGAGAGCAUGGAGUCUAGCCUACACCAGCUCUCUUCUACCCGGACUCCCCUCCUCUCUCCACCCACGUGCUCUUUCCCAAGUAAAUUUCUCUUUCUUCCGGCUGAUCCCAGAAAAGACUCUUGGUCACCUGCACACUCACCGGCUUCCAAGAACAACUUCCCUUACAUCGGUUGAUGUUUCGCUAGACAGAUCCCAGUAUCUGGAAACAACUACUCGCAUCCAAAACUCCAGGGGAAAAAAUAAAAGAAAAAACAGACUUUGAAGAAUAAGAACUUCCUGUCUCCCCUGGUAACCCCAGAGAACCCUGCCAACAAAGUCAGCCAGUAAUUCCGUGGAGAAUCCCAGGACAUCAGUCAUUCUCUCCCAGCUCAGAUACCAAAGCAGAUUAGUGGCAGAACCACGUGUGGCCACAGGGUCAUGAGGAAAGGCACCUCCACCCCCAACUUACAGGGCAGCCCAGGAAUGAGAGACCUGAGGCAUUUCUCACACCCUCUUCUCUUGCCACAGUCAAAACUAAAACACGUUGCAUAAGAGAGCUUUAAAAAAAAAUAAAUAGGUCAUCUUUGGCACUAAUUUUAAAACCAUCUGCAUUUCUAGUAAGCUCUCCAAUGACUCCAUCCUGGAAAACUCGAGUGGGAAGAAGAAAAGUAGGCAGAGAAGGUAACUGCUUCCCUCUUACAGAAACUCUUUUAAUCUCCUGCUGAGGGCUGUUUUGUGUUCUGCUGUAGCAAGCUUGAGCCUACCAAUUAUCUCCUGAAGAGGACUGCUUUCUGUCUCCCUGUCCUCCUUGGCAUUUACAGACUGUCAUUCAUGUAUGACACAUCAAAUGUGUCAUUAGUUUCAAUACUGAAAGAGGGAGCAGAAAAGCAGGGAGCGGCGUUGUCAGGAACAAAACCAGACUUCCCUGUCAUAACUGAGCUUACACCUAAAAACAGCCAUAACUUUUUCUCUGAACUCAGUCAGGUUUAACGUCAGAAAGUCCAACCCAUCUCCUUUGGUGAAAAGUAGCCUUUAUUAUCGAGUCUUGAUUACACAAAGCUCCAGAAAUACCACUGGCCCCUCUCUGUGAGACUGAUGGCCCUCGGUGUGAGUCGUAGAAGCUCUGGAUUGCCUUUUUUAAAACAGGCUACUCAACCUGGAACCCAGAUAAACUCAAGGCAUUUGGUUCAGGAACCAGUAAGCAUCUGACUUCCAUGAUAAACUUUCCUGGAUUCCAGACCCUGGAUUUUUCUUAUCUUGGCCAGCACACCAGGAUAUUCACAAUGAGCCAAAAAACUUUCAAGACUUCAGCACUGUCGAAGUGGAAUAGAAAAGUUUCUUGCUUUUACAUUGAAAAUAUGGCAAAUAAAGAAUAUCUCUGUAAGAGUUUAAAUGAUAGUCUUGAUUGAAUAAUUACUAGUAAAUUAUGUUACUGGUAUACCAUAAGUUGUUCCAUGCCAAUCUUUGCUACUUAAGCUAAUGAAAGAACAUUCCAAACAAUAAGUCAAGGUAAAUCUCAUGUUCAAAUGUGCUUGGUAAAGGUCCCAGGCUUUAUGGUACAUAUUUAGCAAUGAUCUUACAGUCAUUUGAAUUAAAACUAUAGUGGUUUAGGUUAUGCUGAAAGAAAAGUCACAGCAAAAUGCUGGAUAAAUACAUGUUCUAAAAAAGUUAUAUGUAAACACAGCUUAUUAUGUAUAUUAGAUACUAUAUUAUUAUACUUAACAUUAUACAAGAUUAUAUUAUUAUUUUUAAGCAUUACUUAGGAUCCAUUUUUUUGAGGCAAGUAAUAGUGACUUUAUUCAGAAAGUCAGCAGACUGAAAAUGGAAUUCUUCAUAAAAUAGCUUCACAAAUUAACAAAUCUUUAUGUAAGCCCUAAUUUUCAUAUAAAAAAUUGAACCAUAUUAGUGUGGGUAAAUUUGUAUUUCAAAAGGUUAAUCUUCAAAAUCAGUUACUUGCACAGUAUCAUACAGGAUUUAUGUUUUAUGUGUAUUUGGAUUUGGUUACCAAAUGACUCAGACUUGCUUCCUGUAUAAGAAAAGCUUGCAAAAAAUUUUUGUCUGUACCCUUUCUUCAAAACUAUUUGCAUCAAUGUUUAAAUUACUAUCAAAAAUUAAAAUUUAAUUUUGUAUCAAAUUUCUAAGUAAUGCCUAAUUACAGUGCUUAUUUGAGAGAAAAUUUUAAAUUAAGAUACAGUUUUGAUGUACUGUGGCAUUAUUCCACACUGCACAUAAGCAAUAAGGGCAGUUUUAAAAGCAUUCUUUAACUG
This is a long non-coding RNA of Dama dama (fallow deer), 4429 nucleotides long. RefSeq lists it as uncharacterized. The transcript is spliced from 3 exons. The record is from RefSeq and is a predicted model, not a curated record. NCBI's taxonomy places the organism in Eukaryota, Metazoa, Chordata, Mammalia, Artiodactyla, Cervidae.